GCUUGUCUCUUCUGCAUCUCGUUUUGUUAUCGUGUCAUUUCCAUUGUUGCCGCUCCUAGGGGUCGCCGAGAGUUGCUGCCAAAUGUUAUGUCCGUGUCUCCCAAGUCGGGUGUGUAUGUCACUGCUGUAUUGCGUUAAGUGUGAUCGGGAAUCAAAAGAGAACCACCACUACCACCGUGAGGUGGUGGCUAGCACCUCUGACCAAUGCCUUCCACCACAAGGGUGGCUAAGCGUGUGUGCAUGUUUUAUGUUGUGGGUGUGUUUAUUUUAGGAUAUUAUGUUGUAUAAUCAGAUUUUUGGCUGGUAUAAUCAAGAAAAUCGCCACCACCACAACCAUGAUGUGGUGGCUANACCACCACCAGCUACUGUGUUGGGUGGCGGUGUGCAUUUAUGUGUGACUGGAUUGUUAAAUGUGUUACUUGGACAUGUUUUGGACUAGAAUCAUAGUCACCACUUCCACGAAGUGGUGGAUGCCGCCGUUGACCACCACUACCCAAGGUGGUAGUGGGUGGUGCCAGACUUAUUUAACCCUAAUUGACCUAAUGAAGCCCUAAUUGACCUAAAAACCAAAUCCUUUGACUAAUUGGCACACGAUUGGGUUGGAAACCCUAAUUAAGGUUUAUAAAACCCUAAUUUUGGAUUUGUUAGUUUGGAAUUGUUAGGACCCACGAUGCCGCCGUUGACCACCACUACCCAAGGUGGUAGUGGGUGGUGCCAGACUUAUUUAACCCUAAUUGACCUAAUGAAGCCCUAAUUGACCUAAAAACCAAAUCCUUUGACUAAUUGGCACACGAUUGGGUUGGAAACCCUAAUUAAGGU
RNAcentral lists this long non-coding RNA (819 nucleotides) under Lactuca sativa (garden lettuce). Its description in RNAcentral is "long non-coding RNA (LSAT_LNC001887)". The record is from RNAcentral. Lineage: Eukaryota; Viridiplantae; Streptophyta; Magnoliopsida; Asterales; Asteraceae.